CAACCCCCAUAUUUCUCACGA
This 21-nucleotide ribosomal RNA is filed under the name Ramalina sp. s671. RNAcentral describes it as "partial 28S ribosomal RNA". Lineage: Eukaryota; Fungi; Ascomycota; Lecanoromycetes; Lecanorales; Ramalinaceae. RNAcentral also lists the same sequence under 1 other name. The record is from RNAcentral.